GACGAACGCUGGCGGCGUGCUUAACACAUGCAAGUCGAACAGAAAGGCCCUGCUUUUGUGGGGUGCUCGAGUGGCGAACGGGUGAGUAACACGUGAGUAACCUGCCCUUGACUUUGGGAUAACUUCAGGAAACUGGGGCUAAUACCGGAUAGGAGCUCCUGCUGCAUGGUGGGGGUUGGAUAGUUUCGGCGGUUGGGGAUGGGCUCGCGGCUUAUCAGCUUGUUGGUGGGGUAGUGGCUUACCAAGGCUUUGACGGGUAGCCGGCCUGAGAGGGUGACCGGCCACAUUGGGACUGAGAUACGGCCCAGACUCCUACGGGGGGAAGCAGUGGGGAAUAUUGCACAAUGGGCGGAAGCCUAAUGCAGCAACGCCGCGUGCGGGAUGACGGCCUUCGGGUUGUAAACCGCUUUCGCCUGUGACGAAGCGUGAGUGACGGUAAUGGGUAAAGAAGCACCGGCUAACUACGUG
RNAcentral lists this ribosomal RNA (468 nucleotides) under uncultured bacterium. RNAcentral's name for it is "partial 16S ribosomal RNA". It matches the Rfam family "Bacterial small subunit ribosomal RNA", at positions 28 to 507 of the family's 1533-position model. The record is from RNAcentral.